UGCCAGCCGCCGCGGUAAUACGGAGGGUGCGAGCGUUAAUCGGAAUUACUGGGCGUAAAGCGCGCGUAGGCUGUCAGUUAAGCGGGAUGUGAAAGCCCUGGGCUCAACCCCGGAAGUGCAUCGGAAACUGGCGAACUUGAGUACGGGAGAGGAAAGUGGAAUUCCGAGUGUAGGGGUGAAAUCCGUAGAUAUUCGGAGGAACACCAGUGGCGAAGGCGGCUCGCUGGCUCGAUACUGACGCUGAGGUGCGAAAGUGUGGGGAGCAAACAGGAUUAGAUA
Molecule: ribosomal RNA, 279 nt
Filed under: uncultured bacterium
Lineage: Bacteria
Description: partial 16S ribosomal RNA
Rfam family: Bacterial small subunit ribosomal RNA
Source: RNAcentral